AGAUGUCUCAUUUUUUUUAAGGGAACUUAAAGAGAUGCUCCUGUGUACUACACAAUUUGCACUGGUAACUAGAAUCAUUUUCCUUGCCCAGAAUUUUCACCUGAAAUAGAAACUAGGCACUAGACAAAUAUUCUCAGCAUAACAGAACUGCAGCCUGUCUAUAAUCAUUAACAGGAACUGAGUCUGAUCUGCACCAACAUAAGCAGAAAGAGCAAGGCAACAUCUUUCCAAAUACAUGCAAACACAUUUGAAAUCUCAACUGUGACGCAAACUGUUUCACGGAAAGGUGGAUUCUUUUCAGGGCUGAAGUCAUUCUUCCAGAAUGCAAAAAAAUAUAAAAAUGUAAUAAACCUAAAUUAUGUGAAAGAAAUAAAAUGAAAGUAAGAGUUCAAGGAGAAGAAAGAAUGAUGCAAAACGUCCAACUGCUAGAAGAGAGUUUACUUCUUCAGUGGAUAAUGACAGAAAUGCUCCCUUCAAGCCGUGUGGGCCAAUCUGCAAUCCUUAAAGCCUCCAGAAUAAAUUUUAAAUUUUGAGACUGAGGGAAUGCAAAGCUCUUCCCCUAUGACUCGCUGUCUCUCCGGAACUAACUUCCAUCUCCACUGCUGCCACCCUAGUCCUGAUUAGCUGCAGUAAACUCCAGAGAUCUCCUGAAUUUGUGUCUUUCCCCCCAUACUCAACGGUUCUUUCUCCACACAGCAGCCUCAGUGUUCGUUCUGAAGUGCAAUGUAGAUAACGUCACUCUCUGCAUAAAAGCCCCCAAUGGUGUACCGCUG
This 773-nucleotide long non-coding RNA is filed under the name Callithrix jacchus (white-tufted-ear marmoset). RNAcentral's name for it is "lncRNA (ENSCJAG00000080637.1)". The record is from RNAcentral. Lineage: Eukaryota; Metazoa; Chordata; Mammalia; Primates; Cebidae.